Non-coding RNA from Ictidomys tridecemlineatus (thirteen-lined ground squirrel), 73 nucleotides. NCBI's taxonomy places the organism in Eukaryota, Metazoa, Chordata, Mammalia, Rodentia, Sciuridae. The record is from Rfam.
GGGGAUAUAGCUCAGUGGGUAGAGUACUUGCCUUGCAUGCACAAGGCCCUGGGUUCAAUCCUUACCAUCACCA